GACGAACGCUGGCGGCGUGCCUAAUACAUGCAAGUCGAGCGAAUCUGAUGGGAGCUUGCUCCUUGAUGAUUAGCGGCGGACGGGUGAGUAACACGUGGGUAACCUGCCUGUAAGACUGGGAUAACUCCGGGAAACCGGGGCUAAUACCGGAUAACUUUUUUCUUCGCAUGGGGGAGAAUUGAAAGAUGGCUUCGGCUAUCACUUACAGAUGGACCCGCGGCGCAUUAGCUAGUUGGUGAGGUAACGGCUCACCAAGGCGACGAUGCGUAGCCGACUUGAGAGGGUGAUCGGCCACACUGGGACUGAGACACGGCCCAGACUCCUACGGGAGGCAGCAGUAGGGAAUCUUCCGCAAUGGACGAAAGUCUGACGGAGCAACGCCGCGUGAGUGAUGAAGGUUUUCGGAUCGUAAAACUCUGUUGUUAGGGAAGAACAAGUAUCGUUCGAAUAGGGCGGUACCUUGACGGUACCUAACCAGAAAGCCACGGCUAACUACGUG
RNAcentral lists this ribosomal RNA (499 nucleotides) under uncultured bacterium. Its description in RNAcentral is "partial 16S ribosomal RNA". It matches the Rfam family "Bacterial small subunit ribosomal RNA", at positions 28 to 507 of the family's 1533-position model. The record is from RNAcentral.